AAGAAUUUAAGUUAAAUAAAACUAUUGACCUUCAAAGCCAAUUACAGAAAUCACUUUCUAAUUCUU
Molecule: transfer RNA, 66 nt
Filed under: Scolytinae sp. BMNH 1274292
Lineage: Eukaryota; Metazoa; Arthropoda; Insecta; Coleoptera; Curculionidae
Description: tRNA-Trp
Source: RNAcentral